UCUAUCAAAAGAUUGAAACUUUUUGCUUAAUUUGACAAACCCAAAACAGAAAACAAUUCCUUUACGUUCCUAUAUACAUGAAUUGUUCAUAAGAAAAAUUUGACCAUUUUUUAUGUUAUCAUAUAUGAUUUGGAGAGAAAAAAGGAAAGAUGAAAAAGUUUCAAUCCUAACCUUUGUGAUUAUAUAAAGGGAAAAAAACAAAAGGCACGGGUGGCUAUUUUGUUUUUGCUAUUUUUGUUGUACAAUAGAAAAGAGAAGCACACAUUUAAAGUUUAAACAAUCUCACUUUUAUUUUGAUGAUUGAUAUAGAUACAUGUGUGGAA
RNAcentral lists this long non-coding RNA (323 nucleotides) under Trifolium pratense (red clover). Its description in RNAcentral is "long non-coding RNA (TPRA_LNC002041)". The record is from RNAcentral. Lineage: Eukaryota; Viridiplantae; Streptophyta; Magnoliopsida; Fabales; Fabaceae.